Molecule: long non-coding RNA, 466 nt
Filed under: Lepisosteus oculatus (spotted gar)
Lineage: Eukaryota; Metazoa; Chordata; Actinopteri; Semionotiformes; Lepisosteidae
Description: lncRNA (ENSLOCG00000022015.1)
Source: RNAcentral
UCAACCUGUACCCCCGGACUGUACAUUUGGGGGAGCCCCGCUCUCAGGGAGUCUGUGCUGAAGACGGUUUUUGGGGGAGUUUGUCCCCCACUGAAAAAAAGGAUCGGUCCAGACUCCAAAAGAAACUGCAAACAUUUAGACAUCUGAACGAAAUCGACGAGCAGCGAAAGAGAACGUGGAUCGUUGUUGACUUUUUUUUGACAAUUUACACACUCCUAGAGAAGCGUGCUCACGGGCGUAUUUGAAAUUAGUUAUUCCUCUUUAACAUGGAUAUAUUUUAAAUAUUUACUGUCGGCAAAACAUCAGACUGCGAAACCAAAAACUUGUUUUUCUCUUCUCAUAAUGAGAAAAACAACGAAACUUUCAUACAGCAAGAGUCAGGUGAAUUUUGGAAAACAGUUUCUUUUCUUACGUUAUUUCUGACAUAAACCACAAUAAUGUCACAAUAAAGUUUACUCAGCUCUAA